RNAcentral lists this ribosomal RNA (72 nucleotides) under Escherichia coli. RNAcentral describes it as "partial ribosomal RNA". Lineage: Bacteria; Pseudomonadati; Pseudomonadota; Gammaproteobacteria; Enterobacterales; Enterobacteriaceae. The record is from RNAcentral.
GGCUUGGUUUGCAAGUGUCAGAUACUGUUAAGCAUCUGAAAUCCCCGGGCUAACCCUGGGAACUGAUGACUG